UGAGACUAGAGGGAAGCUAUGUACUUUU
Molecule: non-coding RNA, 28 nt
Filed under: Mus musculus (house mouse)
Lineage: Eukaryota; Metazoa; Chordata; Mammalia; Rodentia; Muridae
Source: RNAcentral